This is a long non-coding RNA of Spinacia oleracea (spinach), 1038 nucleotides long. RefSeq lists it as uncharacterized. The record is from RefSeq and is a predicted model, not a curated record. The transcript is spliced from 3 exons. Lineage: Eukaryota; Viridiplantae; Streptophyta; Magnoliopsida; Caryophyllales; Amaranthaceae.
UUUAAUAAACUAUUUUGGUAACUUAAGAUAAUUUUACAAUUUUAAAAUAAAAGUUUUAAUGAGUUUAAAAAAAAAAGUAUUUUUAGAUUGUUUUAUAAAGGUUCUGAAAUUUAGUCUCCUAAUUAAACCCUAAUCACCGUAUGUUAUAUAUAUACUCCCACAAACCUCAAAAUUCAUGCCGUGUAAAUUGACUAAUAUAAUAAACUCUUGCCCUCUCGCACCUCUGCCGUCAUCAAGGACAUCUCUUAAUUUCCUCCAUCUCCUGGUGCAUCUUUUGUUUCUCCUGUUGCAAUUCACUCGCUGGCUAGUUUAAAUAGAGCUGAGUUUGACCUUCCCCUCUUAUUUUCAUGUCGGUAAUGCUCAAAUUACUAGGAUAUGGAUUCUUAUCUACAUUAUGCCUUGUUUGACUAAAUAAACUAAUAAUAAUAAUAAGUAAAUAAAACCUUCUUGAUUUCGUUAGGUUGGAUGUAGCAGUAGCUUUUAGGCCAUUGAUUUCUUGCUAAUGACCUGCUUGUUUUAUUUUAAUUGAUCUCAUGAUUAAAAGGCACUAACUUGGUUUUAUAAAAGAAUUUUACUAUCUAUAGUGUUGUGGGCAUAUCAGUGAAAUGGAUUUUGGAGUAACCUCUACGAAGUACUAAUUUGCGAGAGCUAGCAUAGGUAGUAUUCCUAACUAAUGGAUUAAUAUACUGAUUAAGGCUUGUUAUUAUUUAUUUGUAGACGGGGAUUACUAGGUGGUUCUUCUGAAUUAAGAUUCCGUACCUUGAGAAAUCAGGCGCGUUAAAGGUUGGUAAAGGUACUUGGCUACGAGUGAGGAGACGCUUAGAAUAACCACCUAGUCAAGAGACAAUUUCUAUUUCAGUUUAAGUUUAAGUUGGUUUUUGUUAUUCAUUUUAUGGGAAUUGGUUGUAGUUUUUAUGGGGCACCUUUUAGACCACUUAGUUAAUUUUGACUUUAAUGAUUUUAAAUUGUUUUGUUGCUUUGCAUUUAUUUUCUAUGGAGAAUAAAUGUAGCAGUGACACUCCCAAGGUUUGGACGAUU